RNAcentral lists this long non-coding RNA (277 nucleotides) under Rosa chinensis. RNAcentral describes it as "sRNA RchiOBHm_Chr0c09g0498111". Lineage: Eukaryota; Viridiplantae; Streptophyta; Magnoliopsida; Rosales; Rosaceae. The record is from RNAcentral.
GUGCUGUGGACCGGCAUAGGAGCGGAGGCUAGUACCACCUUUGUCAUCCAUUCUCAGUAGGUUAUUGAUUAACCUACUUAUUGUAUUAUAUUCCGAGUCUGUUCCUUAGAUUGCUCUGAAUACUUGUUGAGAGUGGAUUUAUACAUUUGUAUAAUUAUGUGUGUAAGAGAGUGGUUUAUUUUGGGAGAUUGUUGAACGAUUGAGUUACGGGGUUGUAUUUGUUUAAGAUGUUUUGGUUGAAGCAGGGCGGCUUCAAGCGUAGAACUUAAAUUAUUUU